This 289-nucleotide unclassified non-coding RNA is filed under the name Hevea brasiliensis (rubber tree). Lineage: Eukaryota; Viridiplantae; Streptophyta; Magnoliopsida; Malpighiales; Euphorbiaceae. The record is from RNAcentral.
UGCCCCGGUAUUUAGAACUUGCUCUGUACUGCAUCCUUGGCUGAAACCAGGUACUGCAGGACUAAUACACAACUGAAUCUCAGACUAAUACACAAAACAUAACAUGAGCAAAGGACAAUAGAUACUCCCUUCCCAAUCAUCUUUGAUUAAGUGCAUCUUUGAUUGAGACCUUAACCUUGGGAUAAUGCACAAUACCAACCAACACAAGAAGAAUAAUUUGUGGGAUUAUGGGCAGGAUAUCAUUGUAUCAACAACUUGAGGAGUUCAUCUAUGAACAUGUGAAGCCAAU